UUUGUCAGUAGUCCUUUCACCUGGAGCACAUGGAGCAAACAUGGGUUUGCGUCCUCAGAAGGCCGAUUAAGUCAUAGACUCCAGAUGCGCUCAAAGGGAAAAAGAGAUUUGAUCCAGUCGAGGUAGACCGCAUCCUUGGAGGACGCUGCCCAUGAAUUUGAACACAGUGGGAGCUGCAACAUGUGUGGUUAAGUGGUUUGCUAAUAAUCCAAUUUUGGACCUGGUCAAUCAGUGAAAUUACUCAAUAACUGCUACAGUAAAGGGGAGCCAGGAUGCCAGGGAAGUGGGGAUAUGUGACUUUCCACCCUGACUGUACUUUUUGUUAACCUUGAUU
This is a long non-coding RNA of Cyprinodon variegatus (sheepshead minnow), 334 nucleotides long. RefSeq lists it as uncharacterized. Lineage: Eukaryota; Metazoa; Chordata; Actinopteri; Cyprinodontiformes; Cyprinodontidae. The record is from RefSeq and is a predicted model, not a curated record. The transcript has 4 exons.